GAGAAGUAUGGUGCAGUGCUUUGUUGCAGUAGCCAGGGUUUCAAAAGAAUUAAAGAUGUUAAUCGUUUAAGAAAGGAAACACGAACUGGUUGUCCUGCAAUGAUAAGGAUGAGGUUGGUGGNCCAAGAGGUGGAGAGUGCUAGAGGUUACACUUGAACACAACCACCUGUUAGGUGCUAAGAUAUACAAAUCAAUUAAGAAGAUGGGAACGGGAAACAAAAGGAAGUCACAGUCAAGUUCAGAUGCAGAAGUGCGAACUAUUAAGUUGUACAGAGCACUUGUAAUAGAUGCAGGGGGUACGGGGAAC
This 307-nucleotide unclassified non-coding RNA is filed under the name Hevea brasiliensis (rubber tree). Lineage: Eukaryota; Viridiplantae; Streptophyta; Magnoliopsida; Malpighiales; Euphorbiaceae. The record is from RNAcentral.